Molecule: long non-coding RNA, 869 nt
Filed under: Mytilus galloprovincialis (Mediterranean mussel)
Lineage: Eukaryota; Metazoa; Mollusca; Bivalvia; Mytilida; Mytilidae
Source: RNAcentral
UUGGGCAUUUACAACAGUUUCUCCCUUAGCAAUGUUACCUGUAAGCAUGUUAUGCAAAAGAAAACAAACAAUUAUGUUGAAGAUUUAGUGAAAAAAUCGUAAAAGUAAAGUAAAGUUUAUAUCGUAAUUGGAAAUAGUGUCCAUGGUGUACCCUUUAUAAAAAUCAUUUUUUGAAAACAUUUCCUUAACUUUGAAUAAUGAAACAUAUUGAUUAUAGAAACAUGCACCAGUAAAAACAUAUAGAAUAGGGGAAUGGAGCACUUAUUUCGUAACUGAAUCUUAAAAUACACCUUAAAUCAUUGGUGUUACUGUCAAUGGUGAGACCAUUUUGAUAAAAUAACACCAUUGACCAGUUUAGUAACACCACUGAAUACAUCAUGACAAUCAGCAUUGUUUUGUGUUUCUUUCAUGUUUAACAAGCUAAACAUCAUAUUAUUUAUGAAAACAAUACUUAUUUAACAAUGUUUUAACAAUAUCAUGUAUUACAUAUACACAGUUUUCACAAACUGAUGUAUGCUGGUAACACCAAUGACACUAUUUAGUAACACUAUUGACAUUUUUAGUUAUUGAUGUUAUGUUAUAUAAUUUGAGAUUUUUUAGCCUAAGAAUUAUUUUUUCAUCUUUUUCUUUUGCUCGGUGAUCUUGGCUUUGUGUUCAGUACUUGAUAAAGGUAAAAUUUGAAAUGUGAUGUCAUUGGUGAUACUUUUGUGUCAUUGGAGUUACUGAAGGGUCAGUGGUGUUACUAUAUAAAAAUGCGACAUUUUUUUUUUUUUUUUUAUCUUUAUUCAUAAAUGAAAGUGUUUUUAGGUCGUGUACGAAGGAUUAGGUAUAUUAUUAUCAUUUAAUCUUAUACAAUUCACAUAUAUUCA